GAGCCCCCGCACUUGAAGCACAUGGUCUCUCCCACAGACAGAUAGAUAAUAAACCGCCGCCCCUCGAGCGUGAGGCUCAGGGAGCGAGGCAGCGACUGGGGGCCCUCCUUGAGGAGCAUGAAGACCUGCCUCCGAAAGGACAGGACGUGCUUGCCCUGAGGGUUCUUGUUUCCCAUCGGCAGGCGGCGAAAAGGACUCACAGGAACCCCAUAGGCCUCGAGUCCCCUGGCCAGCUCCCGAUCAGAAACGUGAGGUUGCAUUUAAGGCUACAGCUGAGAAAGUUUUAAGAACAAGAUUAAGUGGCACAAAUCAGCAUAACUACAUUGACUGGAGUUAAGAUAACCUGUACCAGCUGAAAGUGGGGAUCUCUACAUGAAUUCUGCUAACUGUAGGCAGUUGAAGAAAGAAUAGCUUGAUUGGUGGAACAUCAAAACCAUUAGAAAGGAGAGAGGAUCGAGGAUCAUCAACACCUGUGGAAUGAAGAAUUCAGAAGUAGGUUUCAGAACAGCAGGAUUUGGACCAUCAGGAGAAGAGAAAUGACUUGAAGUAGGCAAAGCAAGAGGAGGCAAAGCUGUUUCAUCUUUCACCUUUCGUAGCACCAUAACAUUGAAGCCAUGCUACCAAACACUUCCUUAAAUAUUAGUUACUCAGUGGCCGCAUUGCACAAGAUGCUACUGGGCAGUCAUUACUGUGUAUUUAUUUAGUAUUUGUAUAACCUGAGUUUAUGUUCAGUAGUGCCUGCAAAUGCCUUUUUGUGAUACUGCUGCUCAGUAGCCUAAUACUAUUGUGCAGUAGCAUCGCAUCACAGUUUUUGCUACUCAAUGCCGCUCCACAAUAGUAUCGGGCUACAGUGCAGUCAGCGUCUCGUGUAGAUGUAGCCAGUGUCAAACAAGCAAAAUGGAUCUAUCCAAAUUACACCUACAACAUCAGGUUAGCCAAUCUUAAAUCUUUGCAUGAAAAUGAUGGCCCAUUAUUUGCUCAAAUUAACAUGGCUCUGUUAACUCUAACAGAGCUAUACUAGUUUGUGCCAGCUGAAGUUCUGGUCCCACCUUUUGAAUCUCUUCUAAUUCCAACAUUUGUAUUCCUUGUCUAGUAUAGGACAAAAUAAGAUACAUGGACAAAAUAUGAGUUCAGCAUUAAUACAUGAAAGUGGGAUUGUUUAUGAUUAAACCUUAACUUUAUAACAUUAGCAAUAGAUGCUAAUGAGGAAUUUUAUUUAUUCACUGAGGGGAACAUACUGUAUUUCUUUAUAGCAUCACAUUCCCCAAACUGUAAUAUAGUUGUUGUGUCUUGCCUUGCUUAGCAUACCUAUGCAAUUUGGACUGUACAAAUAUAAUAUUUUUAUUAGAAGAUAUAUUCAAUUUCAGCAAGAUAGGAUGUUUACAGAUAAUUCUCUAAGGCUAAGCCAUGUACUGACCUACAUCUUAUUACCACUAAUCAAGAUGCUUCCUCACUUUCUUUGAUAAGCUGGUACACUGAACUCUUGUAGCAUCAUAUCAUAAAUGUUGUUUUCUAGCCCCUGGAUAUUUUUUGUGUCUUUCUUUGAACCUUCAUGUCCUCCUUGAAGUGUGGAUACCAGUGUUGCAUUCAAGCAUUACAUUUCUACUGGGAGAAUUGCAGGUCUCCUGGUACAAAUCCUAAGUGGACAAGUAUUC
This is a long non-coding RNA of Alligator mississippiensis (American alligator), 1655 nucleotides long. RefSeq lists it as uncharacterized. The transcript has 4 exons. The record is from RefSeq and is a predicted model, not a curated record. Lineage: Eukaryota; Metazoa; Chordata; Crocodylia; Alligatoridae.